CCCUUAGAUGUUCUGGGCUGCACGCGUGCUACACUGAUAUUGCCAAUAUGUCAUUCUUAUCCGAAAUGGAUUGGGUAAUCAAGUAAUGAAAUUUCAUGCUUGGAAUCGGUAAUUGCAAUUUUAUCGUGAACGAGGAAUUCCUAGUAAGCACUAGUCAUCAGCUAAUGUUGAUUAUGUCCCUGCCCUUUGUACACACCGCCCGUCGCUACUACUGAUUGGGUGUUCAAGUGAGAUGCUUAGACCCUUGUUGCAUGGUUCAUUAUUGUGCUCCGAAAGGAAAAAGUUUCAAGCUUGAGUGCCUAGAGGAAGUAAAAGUCGUAACA
RNAcentral lists this ribosomal RNA (323 nucleotides) under uncultured eukaryote. Its description in RNAcentral is "partial 18S ribosomal RNA". It matches the Rfam family "Eukaryotic small subunit ribosomal RNA", at positions 1470 to 1796 of the family's 1831-position model. The record is from RNAcentral.